This 472-nucleotide ribosomal RNA is filed under the name uncultured bacterium. RNAcentral describes it as "partial 16S ribosomal RNA". It matches the Rfam family "Bacterial small subunit ribosomal RNA", at positions 28 to 507 of the family's 1533-position model. The record is from RNAcentral.
GACGAACGCUGGCGGCGUGCUUAACACAUGCAAGUCGAACGCUGAAGCUUGGUGCUCGCACUGGGUGGAUGAGUGGCGAACGGGUGAGUAAUACGUGAGUAACCUGCCCUUGACUCUGGGAUAAGCCUGGGAAACUGGGUCUAAUACUGGAUACGACAUGCCACUGCAUGGUGGUGUGUGGAAAGGGUUUUACUGGUUUUGGAUGGGCUCACGGCCUAUCAGCUUGUUGGUGGGGUAAUGGCCUACCAAGGCGACGACGGGUAGCCGGCCUGAGAGGGUGACCGGCCACACUGGGACUGAGACACGGCCCAGACUCCUACGGGAGGCAGCAGUGGGGAAUAUUGCACAAUGGGCGGAAGCCUGAUGCAGCGACGCCGCGUGAGGGAUGACGGCCUUCGGGUUGUAAACCUCUUUCAGCACGGAAGAAGCGAGAGUGACGGUACGUGCAGAAGAAGCGCCGGCUAACUACGUG